RNAcentral lists this ribosomal RNA (253 nucleotides) under uncultured bacterium. RNAcentral describes it as "partial 16S ribosomal RNA". It matches the Rfam family "Bacterial small subunit ribosomal RNA", at positions 524 to 776 of the family's 1533-position model. The record is from RNAcentral.
UACAUGGGGUGCAAACGUUGCUCGGAAUUAUUGGGCGUAAAGCGCACGUAGGUGGUCUGUUAUGUCAGAUGUGAAAGCCCUCGGCUUAACUGAGGAAGUGCACCUGAAACUGGCAGGCUUGAGUACGAAAGAGGGUCGCGGAAUUCCCGGUGUAGAGGUGAAAUUCGUAGAUAUCGGGAGGAACACCGGCGGCGAAGGCGGCGACCUGGUUCGAUACUGACACUGAGGUGCGAAAGCGUGGGGAGCGAACAGG